RNAcentral lists this ribosomal RNA (1449 nucleotides) under Mycobacterium sp. FI-13346. RNAcentral describes it as "bacterial SSU rRNA". It matches the Rfam family "Bacterial small subunit ribosomal RNA". The record is from RNAcentral. Lineage: Bacteria; Bacillati; Actinomycetota; Actinomycetes; Mycobacteriales; Mycobacteriaceae.
GGCGUGCUUAACACAUGCAAGUCGAACGGAAAGGCCCCUUCGGGGGUACUCGAGUGGCGAACGGGUGAGUAACACGUGGGUGAUCUGCCCUGCACUCUGGGAUAAGCCUGGGAAACUGGGUCUAAUACCGGAUACACCCUUCUGGUCGCAUGGCCUGGGAGGGGAAAGCUUUUGCGGUGUGGGAUGGGCCCGCGGCCUAUCAGCUUGUUGGUGGGGUGAUGGCCUACCAAGGCGACGACGGGUAGCCGGCCUGAGAGGGUGUCCGGCCACACUGGGACUGAGAUACGGCCCAGACUCCUACGGGAGGCAGCAGUGGGGAAUAUUGCACAAUGGGCGCAAGCCUGAUGCAGCGACGCCGCGUGGGGGAUGACGGCCUUCGGGUUGUAAACCUCUUUCAGCAUCGACGAAGCGCAAGUGACGGUAGAUGCAGAAGAAGCACCGGCCAACUACGUGCCAGCAGCCGCGGUAAUACGUAGGGUGCGAGCGUUGUCCGGAAUUACUGGGCGUAAAGAGCUCGUAGGUGGUUUGUCGCGUUGUUCGUGAAAACUCACAGCUUAACUGUGGGCGUGCGGGCGAUACGGGCAGACUAGAGUACUGCAGGGGAGACUGGAAUUCCUGGUGUAGCGGUGGAAUGCGCAGAUAUCAGGAGGAACACCGGUGGCGAAGGCGGGUCUCUGGGCAGUAACUGACGCUGAGGAGCGAAAGCGUGGGGAGCGAACAGGAUUAGAUACCCUGGUAGUCCACGCCGUAAACGGUGGGUACUAGGUGUGGGUUUCCUUCCUUGGGAUCCGUGCCGUAGCUAACGCAUUAAGUACCCCGCCUGGGGAGUACGGCCGCAAGGCUAAAACUCAAAGGAAUUGACGGGGGCCCGCACAAGCGGCGGAGCAUGUGGAUUAAUUCGAUGCAACGCGAAGAACCUUACCUGGGUUUGACAUGCACAGGACGCCGGCAGAGAUGUCGGUUCCCUUGUGGCCUGUGUGCAGGUGGUGCAUGGCUGUCGUCAGCUCGUGUCGUGAGAUGUUGGGUUAAGUCCCGCAACGAGCGCAACCCUUGUCUCAUGUUGCCAGCACGUAAUGGUGGGGACUCGUGAGAGACUGCCGGGGUCAACUCGGAGGAAGGUGGGGAUGACGUCAAGUCAUCAUGCCCCUUAUGUCCAGGGCUUCACACAUGCUACAAUGGCCGGUACAAAGGGCUGCGAUGCCGUGAGGUGGAGCGAAUCCUUUCAAAGCCGGUCUCAGUUCGGAUCGGGGUCUGCAACUCGACCCCGUGAAGUCGGAGUCGCUAGUAAUCGCAGAUCAGCAACGCUGCGGUGAAUACGUUCCCGGGCCUUGUACACACCGCCCGUCACGUCAUGAAAGUCGGUAACACCCGAAGCCAGUGGCCUAACCCCUUGUGGGAGGGAGCUGUCGAAGGUGGGAUCGGCGAUUGGGACGAAGUCGUAACAAGGUA